CCUGCCCCCUCACGAACAGAGUGGUGGGUAAAGUGACUCCUCACCCUUCACCCCACCCCGCGGCUACACCUGGAAAAGACUGAUGUGACAGCGACAAUGACAGCACAGCAGAAGCUGAGAGGCAAUCACCAAGCCAAAGCUUGCUGUUUGGAGUGCACACCGGCUGUGUCUGGGCAGGAGUCAAGCAGAAUGAUGCAAAGGCUUUUUGGAGAUUUAUUCCAGCAACACCACUGCUGAGUCAAGAGGGUCUCCCUGAGUUCUGACACACACAUGCUGGUCAUCCAUUUACAGACUAAUGUCUCCUGGCUUUCUCAUCCACUGGUUUUGGAAUCUUUGUAUUUAAAGCUGAAGUAUGUCACUUCUGUGCCAUGAGCAGUUUACAAAGGUAAAAGCAAAAAUAAAGGGCCUCAUUCAGUAAUAAUUCAGUAAUAUAUGUGUAUUUAUGU
Cyprinus carpio (common carp) is the source of this 446-nucleotide long non-coding RNA. RefSeq lists it as uncharacterized. The transcript is spliced from 3 exons. The record is from RefSeq and is a predicted model, not a curated record. Lineage: Eukaryota; Metazoa; Chordata; Actinopteri; Cypriniformes; Cyprinidae.